Molecule: ribosomal RNA, 459 nt
Filed under: uncultured bacterium
Lineage: Bacteria
Description: partial 16S ribosomal RNA
Rfam family: Bacterial small subunit ribosomal RNA
Source: RNAcentral
ACGGGAGGCAGCAGUCGAGGAUCAUUUGCAAUGGGCGAAAGCCUGACAAUGCGACGCUGCGUGGAGGAUGAAGGCCUUCGGGUUGUAAACUCCUGUCAUAGGGGAACAGGCGAUCCGACCUAAUACGUCGGUGAGUUGAGUGUACCCUAAGAGGAAUUGGCGGCUAACUCUGUGCCAGCAGCCGCGGUAAUACAGAGGCCAAGAGCGUUGUUCGGAUUUACUGGGCGUAAAGGGCGCGUAGGCGGUCUUGCGUGUCAAGUGUGAAAUCUCCGGGCUCAACCCGGAAAGUGCGCUUGAAACUACAGGACUCGAGUCUGGGAGAGGGAAUCGGAAUAUAGGGUGUAGCGGUGAAAUGCGUUGAUAUCCUAUAGAACACCGGAGGCGAAGGCGGAUUCCUUGAACAGUACUGACGCUGAGGCGCGAAAGUCGGGGGAGCAAACAGGAUUAGAUACCCUGGUA